This 373-nucleotide unclassified non-coding RNA is filed under the name Hevea brasiliensis (rubber tree). Lineage: Eukaryota; Viridiplantae; Streptophyta; Magnoliopsida; Malpighiales; Euphorbiaceae. The record is from RNAcentral.
AUUAAAUUACAAAAAUGUGGGCUUAAUUACAUGUGGAAAAUUUUGUUCCCACUAAAAGAACAACCGUUACAAAUCUAACAUAAAAUUUAUAUUGUUCAAUCAUCCACAAAAUCAUCAGCUUAUCUGAAAUAAAAGAUGGAUUGUUAAUUCUUUGAUUUUCUUGUUGUCAAACAACUUGAGAUCUAAAACGUGUUAAGGUUGUUGGGAAGAACAUUUGUCGAACACCUUCUGCCUUUAUGAUAGGGAAAAUGAUUCCUGAUGCAACCGAAAUCAUUCUAGCCCCAAUCCAUAUGUGUGGAACUGAAGGAAAUGGAACCAAUAAGCGGCCAACACCAUAGAGAGCUACGACAAAGAAAUGGAGAACCAAAUUCAG